CGAAGCUACAAGGGCUUACGGUGGAUGCCUUGGUGCCAAGUGCCGAAGAAGGACGUGGGUCACUGCGAAAAGCUGCGGGUAGCCGUGAACAGGCGAAUGAGCCGCAGAUAUCCGAAUGGGGAAACCCGGUGGAGCGAACCUCCAUCAUCUACCGCUGAACACAUAGGCGGUAAGAAGGGAACCUGGGGAACUGAAACAUCUAAGUACCCAGAGGAAAAGAGAGAAUUCUCCGAGUAGUGGCGAGCGAAAGGGGAAAAGCCCAAACCGGUGUGGGAGACCGCACCGGGGUUGUAGGGUUCAGCAACAUGGAGUUACAAAAUUGAGGGUUAGAGGAAAGGUGUGGGAAAGCCUGCCAGAGAGGGUAAGAGCCCCGUAGUCGAAAACCCGAGAACUUCUGCUGAAAACCUGAGUACCGCCGGGCACGCUAAUCCGGCGGGAAGCUGGGGGGUCCACCCUCCAAGGCUAAAUACACUUGGCGACCGACAGUGAACAAGUACCGUGAGGGAAAGGUGAAAAGUACCCCGUUGAGGGGAGUGAAAUAGAACCUGAAACCGUAAGCCUACAAGCAGUUGGAGGGCUAAUGGCGUGUUGGUGCUCUGCAGAGAUGCAGGUGCGCAGCGCUAGGCCUGACAGCGUGCCUCUUGGAGAAUGAGCCUGCGAGUUAAUCUUUGUAGCGAGGUUAAGGGAGAGACACCCGAAGCCGUAGCGAAAGCGAGUCUGAAAAGGGCGACGAGUUGCAAGGAUUAGACACGAAACCGGGUGAGCUACCCAUGGCCAGGGUGAAACGUGUGUAAAAGCACGUGAAGGCCCGAACCUACUAAUGUUACAAAAUUAGGGGAUGAGCUGUGGGUAGAGGUGAUAUGCCAAACGAACUCGGAGAUAGCUUGUUCUCCCCGAAAUAGCUAUAGGGCUAGCGCCAUCUGUUAAACUACGGAGGUAGAGCACUGAAUGAGCUAAGGGGCUUAGAGCUUACUGAACUCAAUCAAACUCCGAAUGCCGUAGUUAUAGAGGAUGGUAGUCGGACUACGGGUGAUGAGAUUCGUGGUCAAAAGGGAAACAGCCCAGACCAUCGGCUAAGGUCCCCAAAUUCAAGCUAAGUGGGAAACGAUGUGGAGUUACUGAAACAACCAGGAGGUUGGCUUAGAAGCAGCCACCCUUUAAAGAGUGCGUAAUAGCUCACUGGUCUAGUGAUUCUGCGCGGAAAACUUAACGGGGCUAAGCUUGAUACCGAAGCCAUGGGAUUCUUCUUAGGAAGGAUCGGUAGGGGAGCGUUCCGCCAGCGGAGAAGGCAUACCGUGAGGAGUGCUGGAGUGGGCGGAAGUGAGAAUGCAGGCAUGAGUAGCGUAAAACACGUGAGAACCGUGUUCACCGAAAAUCUAAGGUUUCCGACGCCAGGUCAAUCCGCGUCGGGUUAGUCAGGUCCUUAGGCGAGGCCGAAAGGCGUAGCUGAUGGCAACCCGGUCAACAUUCCGGGACCACUUGAUUGGAGCGAAGAGGGGACGCAGGGAGGCAGGCCGGCCCGCGAUUGGUGGUGCGGGUGCAUGGUACGGCAGGCGAUGAGACCGGUAGGCAAAUCCGCCGGUUGAGCUGAGGUACCGUGGCGAGCCCCAGAGGCAUAAGCGAGUUGAGCCUCACUGCCGAGAAAAGCCUCUAAGUGAUGAAGAUCGAGUGCCUGUACCGCAAACCGACACCGGUAGAUGGGUAGAGAAUACCAAGGUGAACGGGAGAACCUUCGUUAAGGAACUAGGCAACAUAGCCCCGUAACUUCGGGAGAAGGGGUGCCUUCCCUUGUGAUGAAAAGAGCGAGGGGAGGUCGCAGCGAAGCGGCUCUAGUGACUGGUUAACAAAACCACAGGUCUCUGCGAAGUCGAAAGACGACGUAUAGGGGCUGACGCCUGCCCAGUGCCGGAAGGUUAAAGGGAGAGGUUAGCGCAAGCGAAGCUUUGAACUGAAGCCCCGGUGAACGGCGGCCGUAACUAUAACGGUCCUAAGGUAGCGAAAUUCCUUGUCGGGUAAGUUCCGACCUGCACGAAUGGCGUAACGAUCUGGGAACUGUCUCCAGCAGAGACUCAGCGAACUUGUAGCACCGGUGAAGAUGCCGGUUACCCGCACUUAGACGGAAAGACCCCGUGCACCUUUACUACACCUUGACAUUGAGGUUGGCGUUGGACUGUGCAGGAUAGGUGGGAGGCUAUGAAACUGGCUCGUUAGGGUCGGUGGAGCCAUCGUUGAGAUACCACCCUGUUUAACGCUGAUCUCUAACUCGCACCCGUGAUCCGGGUGGAAGACAAUGUCAGGCGGGUAGUUUGACUGGGGCGGUCGCCUCCUAAAGCGUAACGGAGGCGCGCGAAGGUUCCCUCAGGCUGAUUGGAAACCAGCCGUAGAGUG
Molecule: ribosomal RNA, 2388 nt
Filed under: soil metagenome
Description: bacterial LSU rRNA
Rfam family: Bacterial large subunit ribosomal RNA
Source: RNAcentral